This 497-nucleotide ribosomal RNA is filed under the name uncultured bacterium. Its description in RNAcentral is "partial 16S ribosomal RNA". It matches the Rfam family "Bacterial small subunit ribosomal RNA", at positions 28 to 507 of the family's 1533-position model. The record is from RNAcentral.
GACGAACGCUGGCGGCGUGCCUAAUACAUGCAAGUAGAACGCUGAAGCUUGGUGCUUGCACCGAGCGGAUGAGUUGCGAACGGGUGAGUAACGCGUAGGUAACCUGCCUGGUAGCGGGGGAUAACUAUUGGAAACGAUAGCUAAUACCGCAUAAGAGUAGAUGUUGCAUGACAUUUGCUUAAAAGGUGCAAUUGCAUCACUACCAGAUGGACCUGCGUUGUAUUAGCUAGUUGGUGAGGUAACGGCUCACCAAGGCAACGAUACAUAGCCGACCUGGGAGGGUGAUCGGCCACACUGGGACUGAGACACGGCCCAGACUCCUACGGGAGGCAGCAGUAGGGAAUCUUCGGCAAUGGACGGAAGUCUGACCGAGCAACGCCGCGUGAGUGAAGAAGGGUUUCGGAUCGUAAAGCUCCGUUGUAAGAGAAGAACGAGUGGGAGAGUUGAAAGUUCACACUGUGACGGUAUCUUACCAGAAAGGGACGGCUAACUACGUG